Molecule: ribosomal RNA, 253 nt
Filed under: uncultured bacterium
Lineage: Bacteria
Description: partial 16S ribosomal RNA
Rfam family: Bacterial small subunit ribosomal RNA
Source: RNAcentral
GACGUAGGGCGCGAGCGUUGUCCGGAUUUAUUGGGCGUAAAGAGCUCGUAGGCGGCUUGUCGCGUCGAAUGUGAAAUCUCAGGGCUCAACUCUGACAUUGCAUUCGAUACGGGCGGGCUCGAGUUCGGUAGGGGAGACUGGAAUUCCUGGUGUAGCGGUGAAAUGCGCAGAUAUCAGGAGGAACACCGGUGGCGAAGGCGGGUCUCUGGGCCGAUACUGACGCUGAGGAGCGAAAGCGUGGGGAGCGAACAGG